Molecule: ribosomal RNA, 476 nt
Filed under: uncultured bacterium
Lineage: Bacteria
Description: bacterial SSU rRNA
Rfam family: Bacterial small subunit ribosomal RNA
Source: RNAcentral
GAUGAACGCUAGCGGCAGGCUUAAUACAUGCAAGUCGAACGGUAACAGGUCUUCGGACGCUGACGAGUGGCGCACGGGUGAGGAACACGUACACAAUCUACCUUAUACUGGAGAAUAGCCCCGGGAAACUGGGAUUAAUACUCCAUAGUCUUUAAUGAUCACAUGAGAAAUAAAGUAAAGCUUCGGCGGUAUAAGAUGAGUGUGCGUCCCAUUAGAUUGUUGGUGAGGUAACGGCUCACCAAGUCGACGAUGGGUAGCUGGCGUGAGAGCGCGACCAGCCACACUGGCACUGAGACACGGGCCAGACUCCUACGGGAGGCAGCAGUAGGGAAUAUUGGUCAAUGGACGAAAGUCUGAACCAGCCAUGCCGCGUGGAGGAUGACUGCCCUCUGGGUUGUAAACUCCUUUUAUAUGGGAAGAAACCUCUGGAUUCACUCCAGAGCUGACGGUAUCAUAUGAAUAAGCACCGGCUAACU